UUUCCCGUAGGGGGGCCUGCGGAGGGAUCAUUACAAGUGACCCCGGUCUAACCACCGGGAUGUUCAUAACCCUUUGUUGUCCGACUCUGUUGCCUCCGGGGCGACCCUGCCUUCGGGCGGGGGCUCCGGGUGGACACUUCAAACUCUUGCGUAACUUUGCAGUCUGAGUAAACUUAAUUAAUAAAUUAAAACUUUUAACAACGGAUCUCUUGGUUCUGGCAUCGAUGAAGAACGCAGCGAAAUGCGAUAAGUAAUGUGAAUUGCAGAAUUCAGUGAAUCAUCGAAUCUUUGAACGCACAUUGCGCCCCCUGGUAUUCCGGGGGGCAUGCCUGUUCGAGCGUCAUUUCACCACUCAAGCCUCGCUUGGUAUUGGGCAACGCGGUCCGCCGCGUGCCUCAAAUCGACCGGCUGGGUCUUCUGUCCCCUAAGCGUUGUGGAAACUAUUCGCUAAAGGGUGUUCGGGAGGCUACGCCGUAAAACAACCCCAUUUCUAAGGUUGACCUCGGAUCAGGUAGCUCCCUGAC
RNAcentral lists this ribosomal RNA (524 nucleotides) under Cladosporium cladosporioides. RNAcentral's name for it is "eukaryotic LSU rRNA". The stretch from base 190 to 343 matches the Rfam family "5.8S ribosomal RNA". The record is from RNAcentral. Lineage: Eukaryota; Fungi; Ascomycota; Dothideomycetes; Cladosporiales; Cladosporiaceae.